CAAUAGCGUAUAUUAAAGUUGUUGCAGUUAAAAAGCUCGUAGUUGGACCUUGGACCUGGACAGGCGGUCCGCCUCACGGCGUGUACUGUCUUGCUGGGUCUUUCCUCUUGGUGAUCUGUUGUUUCGGCAGCAGGGAACCAGGACUUUUACUUUGAAAAAAUUAGAGUGUUCAAAGCAGGCUCGACGCCGGAAUAUAUUAGCAUGGAAUAAUAAAAUAGGACGUGCGGUUCUAUUUUGUUGGUUUUUGGAAUCGCCGUAAUGAUUAAUAGGGACAGUCGGGGGCAUUAGUACUCACAUGCUAGAGGUGAAAUUCUUGGAUUUUGUGAAGACUAACUUCUGCAAAAGCAUUUGCCAAGGAUGUUUUCAUUAA
Molecule: ribosomal RNA, 370 nt
Filed under: uncultured eukaryote
Lineage: Eukaryota
Description: partial 18S ribosomal RNA
Rfam family: Eukaryotic small subunit ribosomal RNA
Source: RNAcentral